This 443-nucleotide ribosomal RNA is filed under the name uncultured Oribacterium sp. Its description in RNAcentral is "partial 16S ribosomal RNA". It matches the Rfam family "Bacterial small subunit ribosomal RNA", at positions 341 to 792 of the family's 1533-position model. Lineage: Bacteria; Bacillati; Bacillota; Clostridia; Lachnospirales; Lachnospiraceae. The record is from RNAcentral.
ACGGAAGGCAGCAGUGGGGGAUAUUGGUCAAUGGGGGAAACCCUGAACCAGCGACGCCGCGUGAGUGAAGAAGUAUUUCGGUAUGUAAAGCUCUAUCAGCAGGGAAGAAAAAAUCAAAAUUGACAGUACUUGACUAAGAAGCCCCGGCUAACUACGUGCCAGCAGCCGCGGUAAUACGUAGGGGGCAAGCGUUAUCCGGAAUUACUGGGUGUAAAGGGUGCGUAGGCGGUAAAGCAAGUUAGAUGUGAAACCUCAGGGCUUAACCCUGAGCAUGCAUCUAAAACUACUGGACUAGAGUAUAGGAGAGGAAAGCGGAAUUCCUGGUGUAGCGGUGAAAUGCGUAGAUAUCAGGAAGAACACCGGCGGCGAAGGCGGCUUUCUGGACUAAAACUGACGCUGAGGCACGAAAGCGUGGGGAGCAAACAGGAUUAGAUACCCUGGUA